RNAcentral lists this ribosomal RNA (295 nucleotides) under Azadinium spinosum. RNAcentral describes it as "partial Bacterial large subunit ribosomal RNA". It matches the Rfam family "Bacterial large subunit ribosomal RNA", at positions 1592 to 1887 of the family's 2925-position model. Lineage: Eukaryota; Dinophyceae; Gonyaulacales; Amphidomataceae. The record is from RNAcentral.
GGAGGUAAUCAUGCUGCCAAGAAAAGCGUCGUAGUUUGCUGGUUCUCGCUCGUACCCCAAACCGACACAGGUGGGCAGGUUGAAUAUACCAAGGCGCUUGAGAGAAUGAUGUUGAAGGAACUCGGCAAAUUGCCCCCGUAACUUCGGGAGAAGGGGGCCCACCGUGAAGGCAACUUUACGGUGGGGGCACAGACUAGGGGGUGGCGACUGUUUACUAAAAACACAGGGCUCUGCGAAGUCGCAAGACGACGUAUAGGGUCUGACGCCUGCCCGGUGCCGGAAGGUUAAGAGGAGA